RNAcentral lists this long non-coding RNA (1024 nucleotides) under Daphnia pulex (common water flea). Its description in RNAcentral is "uncharacterized LOC124196293, transcript variant X1". Lineage: Eukaryota; Metazoa; Arthropoda; Branchiopoda; Diplostraca; Daphniidae. The record is from RNAcentral.
GUCUGCUAGAUGGCGCGAGUGUCUUCGUUACUCAAGACGAAAUUCCGCCAUUUCUUAAAACACUGAUUGGAAGCCACAUGUUGAAAACGUAUCGUUGGAUUGGAUACUUAAUACGGCGUACUUUCCUUUCUUGACAUUUUUAUUCGUAAUAAUGGUAUUUAUCUGGUAUCAGCCUAUAAUUUCUACAUGGCAAUUUCAUCUGAUCAUGUGGCCUGAGCAGCUGAACAUUUUGCCAAAAUGUCUCUUUUUCCUGUACCAGCUUCACGUUUGUCAGAAACACUUCAGAACAAUUCAGGAUUAACACCCCGGUAUCUGGUAACAGCCUAUAAUUUCUACAUGGCAAUUUCAUCUGAUCAUGUGGCCUGAGCAGCUGAACAUUUUGCCAAAAUGUCUCUUUUUCCUGUACCAGCUUCAUGUUUGUCAGAAACACUUCAGAACAAUUCAGGAUUAACACCCUGGUGGAGUUUGAGCUUCUUUGUUGCUGCCCAACUUACACAUGGAUUUGACGCAGCCAGCUGAGGGCUCUAAUUCUUGUUGAUCAUGUAUGUUCGUGUAGUUGCUGUCCGAUGUGGCACGUUGUUGCAGCCUAUGAUGGUGAAAGAUCUUUCUACAUCAAGUUCAAUUGGCCGUUCCUUGGUGCUGAUGUUGUGUUACCGAAGUUGCAUCAUAUUUUGUUAAAUUGUCAUCGCGACUAUUGCAGUUUAUAAGUUCAGAAGCAAAAAAAAAAAUUUGGGAUGUUUAUGUCAACAAAUAAUAAACAUGUUUCCGGGAUUGGGAAAGGAAAGUGGAGGAUGUUGGAGGGGGGAGGGAGGAUAUUUCAAGUUUGGAUAAAAAUUCAGUUAAUCUAUUACCAUACAAAUGUUGCCCUACCAAUUAAUCUCCAAACCCCACAAACAUAUACCUUCCAAUCCUUCAAACCCCGAAAACAUACACCUACUAACCCCUAAAUUUAUACCCUCAACCCUAAAAACCAAUUACCUUAACCAUGUGUAAUAAAUCAAAAUAAAUACGUUGUAUGAACCAA